RNAcentral lists this transfer RNA (85 nucleotides) under Felis catus (domestic cat). It matches the Rfam family "tRNA". Rfam says of the family: Transfer RNA (tRNA) molecules are approximately 80 nucleotides in length. The record is from Rfam by way of RNAcentral. Lineage: Eukaryota; Metazoa; Chordata; Mammalia; Carnivora; Felidae.
GCCUGAGUGGCUCAGUUGGUUAAGCGUCUGACUUUGGUUCAGGUCAUGAUCUCGCGGUUUGUGAGUUCAAGUCCCGCGUCGGGCU